This 500-nucleotide ribosomal RNA is filed under the name uncultured bacterium. Its description in RNAcentral is "bacterial SSU rRNA". It matches the Rfam family "Bacterial small subunit ribosomal RNA", at positions 30 to 504 of the family's 1533-position model. The record is from RNAcentral.
UGAACGCUGGCGGCGUGCUUAACACAUGCAAGUCGAACGAGAAAGAGGUUGCUUGCAACCUUGAGUAGAGUGGCGCACGGGUGAGUAACACGUAGAUAAUCUACCUUCAAGCCUGGAAUAACUAUUCGAAAGGGUAGCUAAUACCGGAUAAAGUUGAUCAACAUAAGUUGGUUCAUGAAAGAUUGCCUCUUCUUGAAAGCAAUUGUUUGGAGAUGAGUCUGCGGACCAUUAGUUUGUUGGUGGGGUAAAGGCCUACCAAGACUGCGAUGGUUAGCUGGUCUGAGAGGAUGAUCAGCCACACUGGAACUGACACACGGUCCAGACUCCUACGGGAGGCAGCAGUGAGGAAUUUUGCGCAAUGGGGGAAACCCUGACGCAGCAACGCCGCGUGAGUGAAGAAGGCCCUUGGGUCGUAAAGCUCUGUCGACAGGGAAGAAAUUAACAUCAUCCAAUAGGUGUUGUUAUUGACGGUACCUGUAGAGGAAGCACCGGCUAACUCC